GCUUUGCAAAAACGAAAGCACGCAAACCAAAAACCAAAAACGCUGCAUCCAGUUUUCACAAUGGAAGUUCUUCAGGCCUCUAGGGGGAGCGCUAAGUGAGAGCGCUAAGUGGAACAGCUUGAUUUUCGGCCCCACGGAGCGAGAGAGAGAGAGAAGAAGAAGAAGCAUAUGAGAAGUUUGGACAAACGUCAAAGAGGCGACAUAAAAAGACUUCCAUGUUGUGUCCCUUCUGUGGCCAACAUCAGAGCACUGUUCAAGUGUACUGUGGCUCAUGUGGCAAAAAUGUACAGUUUUUGGCACAAGCUGAAGACAACAGGUCAGCAUCAGACAGCCCCACAGAAGAGGAUCUGAUUAAAAAGUAUUUCCAUGAUGGCUACAGCUACGAUGACAUUUUGGAUUUCCUGGCAACGACUCACAAUGUUAAAAUGAAAGUAAAUUGAAAAGUUAUUCAUUGUCCAGGCAAAAACAUUUCUCUCCUCUUACUUCUAUACGUGCUGCCAUACAAGAAGAGCUGAAGGGGCCAGGCCAGCAUUAUGGCUACCGUACCAUGUGGCAGACAUUGCGCCAAAAGUACUCUCUCACAGUGAGAAGGGAUGAUGUCAUGGCUUUGAUGGGAGAGCUUGAUCCCUCAGGAGUUCAACUUCGUGCAAGACGAAGAUUUGUAAGAAGAGUUUACAACUCCUGUGGACCAAACCAUGUCUGGCAUGUUGAUGGUUAUGACAAAUUAAAACCAUAUGGUUUGGCCAUUAGUGGCUGUAUAGAUGGCUACUCCCGCAAAGUAAUGUGAUUGGUGUGUGGAGCAAGCAACAAUGAUCCUGGGGUCAUUGCUCAAAACUAUCUGCAUUGCGUCUCAGAAUGUGGUAUCAUACCAAUGCAGCUUCGCACAGACUGUGGUACAGAAAAUGGCACAAUGGCAGCAAUCCAGUGUGCCUUAAGAUCAACACACACAGAUGGUUUUGCUGGGGCUGCCAGUCAUAUGUAUGGCUCCUCAACCGCAAACCAACGGAUCAAAAACUGGUGGUCAUACUUCCAAAAAC
Molecule: long non-coding RNA, 1037 nt
Organism: Osmerus eperlanus (European smelt)
Lineage: Eukaryota; Metazoa; Chordata; Actinopteri; Osmeriformes; Osmeridae
Exons: 3
Source: RefSeq, a predicted model, not a curated record